GCGGCAUGCCUUACACAUGCAAGUCGAACGGCAGCACGGGGGCACCCUGGUGGCGAGUGGCGAACGGGUGAGUAAUAUAUCGGAACGUGCCCUGGAGUGGGGGAUAACUAGUCGAAAGACUAGCUAAUACCGCAUACGAUCUAUGGAUGAAAGUGGGGGAUCGCAAGACCUCAUGCUCGUGGAGCGGCCGAUAUCUGAUUAGCUAGUUGGUAGGGUAAAAGCCUACCAAGGCAUCGAUCAGUAGCUGGUCUGAGAGGACGACCAGCCACACUGGGACUGAGACACGGCCCAGACUCCUACGGGAGGCAGCAGUGGGGAAUUUUGGACAAUGGGGGCAACCCUGAUCCAGCAAUGCCGCGUGAGUGAAGAAGGCCUUCGGGUUGUAAAGCUCUUUUGUCAGGGAAGAAACGGUCCGGGCUAAUAUCCUGGGCUAAUGACGGUACCUGAAGAAUAAGCACCGGCUAACUACGUGCCAGCAGCCGCGGUAAUACGUAGGGUGCAAGCGUUAAUCGGAAUUACUGGGCGUAAAGCGUGCGCAGGCGGUUGUGCAAGACAGAUGUGAAAUCCCCGGGCUUAACCUGGGAAUUGCAUUUGUGACUGCACGGCUAGAGUGUGUCAGAGGGGGGUAGAAUUCCACGUGUAGCAGUGAAAUGCGUAGAGAUGUGGAGGAAUACCGAUGGCGAAGGCAGCCCCCUGGGAUAACACUGACGCUCAUGCACGAA
Molecule: ribosomal RNA, 722 nt
Filed under: uncultured beta proteobacterium
Lineage: Bacteria; Pseudomonadati; Pseudomonadota; Betaproteobacteria
Description: bacterial SSU rRNA
Rfam family: Bacterial small subunit ribosomal RNA
Source: RNAcentral